UGCAAGCUGGAACAGUUUAAUACAUCACAUUUCAGAGCCGCAAUUCUUGAAAAGUACUUUUAUUAAUCAGAAGUGUUUUGAACUGUUUUAGAACAAUUUAAGGUUGACAGUUUGAUUUAAAUAGUAUUUUAUUUCUGAAUCAGUCAUAAAAGAUCAUUCACAAUAGAACAGAUCUCAUUUAUUUGGAAAACUGUUAGUAUUUCAGUUUUUUUAAAAGCGUUAGUAUGAGAGUGCAGCUUUAACUCUUUUGUGACUUUGUUGAUUGGGAAACUGUGAACAAUGUAUCAUUAUGAAACACCGGUUCUCAUUUACCAGCUGUAUAUGUGAUGACGCCUGUAGAAAGGGAUAGAAAGUCGGCAAUUUUAAUUUCGAGAAAAAGGUGUUUAAAGUUUUGUUAAUCUAUUUUACUGAAUUUAAUUGUAAUUAUUAACAUUUCGUCGCUCCAUUUUACAAACUUAAAAUAAAAGAAAUGUAUAAAUUGCUUCUAUGAAAUAUCCAUUAUGUCCGACAACGAUACAAACAAAAUAAUAGCGACUUUAAGAGUUAUCUCUCUUCGUGUCAGUACCUACGUCAUUUCCUGUGUUAAUUGACAAGCGAGAAACUUUGUCAGAUUGAUGUUUUUGUCUACAUUACUGCUGUUUGAUGCUACUUUUGCUGAAUUUUGACGGAACAGCCUCCAUGCGUGUUGCCGGACCUCCAUUACAGUUGGGACUUCGCGCAGCAGGUCUUUUCCCCCCAUCAUGCCCAACAGACUGGCCCUAUCUUCUUCAAAAUCCCACGGAAAUGUGCUGUCUUUGGAGUGUGCGCAGAAGGCUCAGGACAGCAAGUGUUUUAUUUACUGGAUGAGCCAGAGAUGCCAGGGAAGGGGGCAGACACAGUUGUUAGCCUUGAAGAGAAGAGAAUGCAGAAAUUCAUUUUGAUAACUGUGCCGGGCAAAACAAAAAUUAUACCGUUCUUUGGUAUGCUCUUUAAAGAACAAUGACAGGACUACAUCAGCGGAUAGAGCUUUCUACUAUGAUCACAGGUCACACAAAGUUCCACCAGGAUUGGCACUUCGGCCUAUGGAAAAACAAUGGAGGAAGUCAAAUGCAGAGACAAUUGGAGAAGUAGGUGCUACUGUAACCAGCUCAUCACCGAGUGGUCAUAACAUUCUUCAACUUGUUGGUGAUCCCGAAAAACCUGUCGAUUCUUCUAUUGGAAACUGUAUCUUCAACAGUUUUUAAAACAAAUGAAGAACAUCUCAAAGUACCAUCAUUUUGUACUUGAAGCAAACAGGCCAGGCCUUGUGCACAGUGAAGAGAGUUUGCUGCAUCAGAUGUUGUCGAGUUUGCGUUGCUAAAAAAUAAUGCAGUUGUUGUUCCUGGACUCCCAUCAAAUGUCUGCAUCAAGGGCAUGGAUGUUGAGCGGCAAUGGUAUUUGCACGAGACAAUUUGGGAAUUCUGCCGAAUUGACAUAAGGACAUAGUUUGCCCCAAACCUUCUUAACCAAGGCAUUGAACAGACAGUACACCAGUUAUUAUACCCACCAAAACAAAGUUUGGGGGGGGUAUACUGGAAUCGGGUUGUCCGUCUGUCCGUCUGUCUUUCUGUCCGUCCGUCUGUCCGUCCGUUUUUUUUUUGUCCGGGAUUCAUCUUUGUUGUUAUUGAACAAAUCUUUUUCAAACUUUCAGAUAUUAAUGGCCAUGAUGUAAACUUGCGCCUCUGUGAAAUUGGUACGGGUCACAUGACCCUGACCAGAGUUAUCUCCCCUUGAUGUGUUAAAGUAGGCCGUUUUUUUUUUGUCCGGGAUUCAUCUUUGUCGUUAUUGAACAAAUCUUUUUCAAACUUUCAGAUAUUAAUGGCCAUGAUGUAAACUUGCGCCUCUGUGAAAUUGGUACGGGUCACAUGACCCUGACCAGAGUUAUCUCCCCUUGAUGUGUUAAAGUAGGCAAAAUAAGCCCUGUCCGGGAUUCAUCUUUGUUAUUAUUCAACAAAUCUUUAUCAAACUUUCAGAAAUUAAUGGCCAUGUUGUAAACUUUCGCCUCUGUGAAUUUGGUACAGGUCACAUGACCCUGACUGGAGUUAUCUCCCCUUGAUGUGUUAAAGUAGGCAAAAUAAGCCCUGUCCGGGAUUCAUCUUUGUUAUUAUUCAAUAAAUCUUUAUCAAACUUUCAGAAAUUAAUGGCCAUGUUGUAAACUUUUGCCUCUGUGAAUUUGGUACAGGUCACAUGACCCUGACUGGAGUUAUCUCCCCUUGUAGGCAAAAUUAGCUUUGUCCAGCCUAACUCCAGGGCAAACAACCUAGACAUGGAGGGGUGGGGGGUAUUCGUUAGCCUAUGGCUUACAGUUCUAGUUACCAUUGGAAGCUUAUUGUUUGGAAUAGUGUUUGCUGUUGUUGAGAAUUAACGUUAUGGUUCUCAUUGUUUGCAAACCGCAAGACUUUGUAAACUGUUAUGUAAUUCUAACCAACUUUUAACCUAAUCUCCUAGAUAGCUUUCAUUUAACAAAUUUUGAUUGGAUAUCUGCUUGAAUCAUUAUUUCUGUUAUAACUAAUGCCUGUACCAAUCUAUAAGUAGUGUGCUGAGUGUCGAUGCAAAACAUUUACAACUUUGAAAUUAAAACGUAUUAUGUCUUGCCAAAGAAACAUUUUCCUUUGUUAUUUACUGUUAUUAUGUUAAGUUAAAAAACUACAUAACAUUAUUAUAAAUAGAGUACAUUCAGUAUGUGGCAAUCUAUAAAUGUUUGAAACAGAAGGUUUCCCUUUCAAGUACAGUUCCUUGAUUUUGCAUACAUGCAGGAGCAUAGACAAUUAUAGUAAUGGUUAUAUUACCUGUAUGUUAUGUAUGUUGAAGUUUGUAUUUUUUGUUGCCAUGGCAACAUUUUUAUUUCUAAUUUGCAAUGAUUAAUGCUAUGCCCGAAGGUGGGCAUAUUAAAAUCGCACCGUCCGGCUCUGUAACUUUCCCUUGUAUGGACAAAUUUUAAAAUAACUUGCCACAUGUGUUCCACAUACCAAGACGACGUGUGGCGUGCAAGACUCGUGUCCCUACCUCAAAGGUCAAGGUCACACUUCGUGUUUAUUCACAAUGGAGUGCUGCAUAUAAGGACAUAGAGUAUAGGUUGUCGUGUCUGGGCUGUAACUUUCUCUUGUAUGGACAGAUUUUAAAAUAACUUGCCACAUGUGUACCACAUACCAAGACGACGUGUCGCGUGCAAGACCCGUGUCCCUACCUCAAAGGUCAAGGUCACACUUAGUGUUUAUUCACAAUGGAGUGCUGCAUAUAAGGACAUAGAGUACAGGUUGUCGUGUCCGGGCUGUAACUUUCCCUUGAAUGGACAGAUUUUAAAAUGACUUGCCACAUGUGUUCCACAUACCAAGACGACGUGUCGCGUGCAAGACCCGUGUCCCUACCUCAAAGGUCAAGGUCACACUUAGUGUUUAUUCACAAUGGAGUGCUGCAUAUAAGGACAUAGAGUAUAGGUUGUCGUGUCCGGGCUGUAACUUUCUCUUGUAUGGACAGAUUUUAAAAUAACUUGCCACAUGUGUUCCACAUACCAAGACGACAUGUCACGUGCAAGACCCGUGUCCCUACCUCAAAGGUCAAGGUCACACUUAGUGUUUAUUUACAAUGGAGUGCUGCAUAUAAGGACAUGGAGUAUAGGUUGUCGUGUCCGGGCUGUAACUUUCCCUUGUAUGGACAGAUUUUAAAAUAACUUGCCAAAUGUGUUCCACAUACCAAGACGACGUGUCGCGUGCAAAACCCGUGUCCCUACCUCAAAGGUCAAGGUCACACUUAGAGUUUAUUUACAAUGGAGUGCUGCAUAUAACGACAUAGAGUAUAGGUUGUCGUGUCCGGGCUGUAACUUUCCCUUGUAUGGACAGAUUUUAAAAUAACUUGCCACAUGUGUUCCACAUACCAAGACGACGUGUCGCCUGCAAGACCUGUGUCCCUACCUCCAAGGUCAAGGUCACACUUAGUGUUUAUUCACAAUGGAGUGCUGCAUAUAAGGACAUAGAGUAUAGGUUGUCGUGUCUGGGCUGUAACUUUCUCUUGUAUGGACAGAUUUUAAAAUAACUUGCCACAUGUGUUCCACAUACCAAGACGACGUGUCGUGUGCAAGACACGUGUCCCUGCCUCAAAGGUCAAGGUCACACAUAGUGUUUAUUCACAAUGGAGUGCUGCAUAUAAGGACAUAGAGUACAGGUUGUCGUGUCCGGGCUGUAACUUUCCCUUGUAUGGACAGAUUUUAAAAAAACUUGACACAUGUGUUCCACAUACCAAGGCGACGUGUCGCGUGCAAGACCCGUGUCCCUACCUCAAAGGUCAAGGUCACACUUGGUGCUUAUUCACAAUGGAGUGCUGCAUAUAAGGACAUAGAGUAUAGGUUGUCGUGUCAGGGCUGUUACUUUCCCUUGUAUGGACAGAUUUUAAAAUCACUUGCUACAUGUGUUCCACAUACGAAGACAACGUGUCGUGUGCAAGACCCAUGUCCCUACCUCUAAGGUGAAAGAUACACUAAGUGUUUAUUCACAAGGGAAUUCUGAAUAUAAGGACAUAACAGUGUAGGUUGUCAAGUAUGGGUGGUAUUUUUUUAUGUUCAGAGGCAAUUUAAAAUAACUUGCCAUAUGUAUUUGACACGUAAAGGCAAGAUCAACUUUUCAUGUACUGACCUUGUUCGUAGGUCAAUGUCACAUUCGGGGGCAUUCGUCACAUACUGUGACAGCUCUUGUAUUAAGUUUUGAAAUUAUAUUUUGUAAAAUAAGAAAAGAAUCAAUAUUCCUAAAUACCUGACAAAACUGUUUAAUUUCUGUUACUAUUUCUGAGUAUUUUGAUAAUUUAUUUUGCACAUUACUGAUCUACUCUUGACCCAUAACAAUGAAAAUUCUAAUUAUAAUUACUUUUAUUAUUUAAAACAUAUUGUUAAGCUGACGACCUAUAACAAUCUCUUUCAAAUAAUCUCUUCGGUAUCUUUGAUCCUUAAUGUGUUACAUAUUUUAUUGCUUUAUAUUUUGGUUGCCAUGGUAACAUUUUAUUUUAUGUACUUACACAAUAUCAUUAUUUUGCUAGAUUAUUCAAAUAGUCUGUAUAUGAUAUAUAACUAAAAAUUAUAUAAAGAAUCGGGGGUGGGGGGGGGAACAAGUUUUCUUCUUUUAUUACUCUUUUAAAAAAAUCCGCUGUUUUUGAAGCUUUCGCCAAAAAAAAAUGUUCCACUGGCGUGCUUCUUUAAAUCGACAUAACAAGGAAAGUACUUACCGUAUGAUUUUUACUUCAAAUUUCACCAAAAUGAUUGCAAUGAAAUUCUCUUUUCAGACAUACCAAAAACUCAAAAAGUCAUUUUUGCACCUUUGUACCCCUUUUUACAGGCAUUGUCACAUAUAUGUAUUAGUUCUUAGUUGAAUAUGAAAUAAAAAUGGUUCAAUGUU
This is a long non-coding RNA of Mya arenaria, 5399 nucleotides long. RefSeq lists it as uncharacterized. The transcript is spliced from 6 exons. Lineage: Eukaryota; Metazoa; Mollusca; Bivalvia; Myida; Myidae. The record is from RefSeq and is a predicted model, not a curated record.